This is a long non-coding RNA of Vidua chalybeata, 798 nucleotides long. RefSeq lists it as uncharacterized. The transcript is spliced from 3 exons. Lineage: Eukaryota; Metazoa; Chordata; Aves; Passeriformes; Viduidae. The record is from RefSeq and is a predicted model, not a curated record.
CUCGGGUGAGGCGGCUCCCCGGAGCCACCGGCUCCCUUCCUGGAAGAAUGACCACGUGUGUGCCCUGGUGGGGUGACACUGGUGACAUGUGCGUGGCCUGGUGACCGUGUGGUGGCAUUCCUGUUGGGUGCCACCCUGGGAGUGCUGCAGUUUUACACUCAUGAGGGCAAAGAGUUUGCUUUGGGGUGAGGGGUGCCCUGAGGAGCAGCUCAAGGCCACUCUCUGGUGUUUAUCCCAAGGUGUGAGGAUGUCCCCAUCGUGCUCCUCAUGGCCACAUGUCCCCGAGUCCUGACCAUGACACCACCUCCCUCCUCUGCUUUCCUUGCCUGAAGAGCUGGCUGUCAGCCAGAGGAAUGGGCUGCAAACCCCCAAAAUUUGUCUUGAGAAGCCAUCAUCAACCAGCCCGUCUCACCCUGACAUCCUGAAGACCACAGGCUGCUUAACAUUUGAUGCAUUUUGGCACCCUGACUGGUUUGUGGCCAUUUUUUUGUGUGUUAUUUAAGAUGUGUUUUGGCAAUGUGACUAUUUUGUGGCUGGUUUUCUGUGUCUUUUUUGAACUUGGUUAUGAAAAUGUCUGUGAUCUAUUACCAGCCAAGGCCAGAGACAGACCAAUAGCAUGAUUUAUUGUCUCCUAGAACUAGAAAACAGCUUCUGUCUCUGUACAGGCUUAUCUCCCAUCCAGUAUCUUAAAUUCUUCCAUCUAAUAACAAUUAAAUAGAUCUUUGAGAGCAUCUUUUAUCUUAAAACUUGUGGGGUUUAAGCCCUGGAGAAUAAUUUAAUGCUUAAAGUAAAAACUGC